CCUGGCUCAGGAUGAACGCUAGCUACAGGCUUAACACAUGCAAGUCGAGGGGCAGCAUGGUCUUAGCUUGCUAAGGCCGAUGGCGACCGGCGCACGGGUGAGUAACACGUAUCCAACCUGCCGUCUACUCUUGGACAGCCUUCUGAAAGGAAGAUUAAUACAAGAUGGCAUCAUGAGUCCGCAUGUUCACAUGAUUAAAGGUAUUCCGGUAGACGAUGGGGAUGCGUUCCAUUAGAUAGUAGGCGGGGUAACGGCCCACCUAGUCUUCGAUGGAUAGGGGUUCUGAGAGGAAGGUCCCCCACAUUGGAACUGAGACACGGUCCAAACUCCUACGGGAGGCAGCAGUGAGGAAUAUUGGUCAAUGGGCGAGAGCCUGAACCAGCCGAGUAGCGUGAAGGAUGACUGCCCUAUGGGUUGUAAACUUCUUUUAUAAAGGAAUAAAGUCGGGUAUGGAUACCCGUUUGCAUGUACUUUAUGAAUAAGGAUCGGCUAACUCCGUGCCAGCAGCCGCGGUAAUACGGAGGAUCCGAGCGUUAUCCGGAUUUAUUGGGUUUAAAGGGAGCGUAGAUGGAUGUUUAAGUCACUUGUGAAAGUUUGCGGCUCAACCGUAAAAUUGCAGUUGAUACUGGAUAUCUUGAGUGCAGUUGAGGCAGGCGGAAUUCGUGGUGUAGCGGUGAAAUGCUUAGAUAUCACGAAGAACUCCGAUUGCGAAGGCAGCCUGCUAAGCUGCAACUGACAUUGAGGCUCGAAAGUGUGGGUAUCAAACAGGAUUAGAUACCCUGGUAGUCCACACGGUAAACGAUGAAUACUCGCUGUUUGCGAUAUACUGCAAGCGGCCAAGCGAAAGCGUUAAGUAUUCCACCUGGGGAGUACGCCGGCAACGGUGAAACUCAAAGGAAUUGACGGGGGCCCGCACAAGCGGAGGAACAUGUGGUUUAAUUCGAUGAUACGCGAGGAACCUUACCCGGGCUUAAAUUGCAGAUGAAUUACGGUGAAAGCCGUAAGCCGCAAGGCAUCUGUGAAGGUGCUGCAUGGUUGUCGUCAGCUCGUGCCGUGAGGUGUCAGCUUAAGUGCCAUAACGAGCGCAACCCUUGUUGUCAGUUACUAACAGGUUCCGCUGAGGACUCUGACAAGACUGCCAUCGUAAGAUGUGAGGAAGGUGGGGAUGACGUCAAAUCAGCACGGCCCUUACGUCCGGGGCUACACACGUGUUACAAUGGGGGGUACAGAGGGCCGCUACCACGCGAGUGGAUGCCAAUCCCCAAAACCUCUCUCAGUUCGGACUGGAGUCUGCAACCCGACUCCACGAAGCUGGAUUCGCUAGUAAUCGCGCAUCAGCCACGGCGCGGUGAAUACGUUCCCGGGCCUUGUACACACCGCCC
RNAcentral lists this ribosomal RNA (1382 nucleotides) under uncultured bacterium. RNAcentral's name for it is "bacterial SSU rRNA". It matches the Rfam family "Bacterial small subunit ribosomal RNA", at positions 18 to 1395 of the family's 1533-position model. The record is from RNAcentral.